Non-coding RNA from Phrynosoma platyrhinos (Desert horned lizard), 72 nucleotides. NCBI's taxonomy places the organism in Eukaryota, Metazoa, Chordata, Lepidosauria, Squamata, Phrynosomatidae. The record is from the annotation of a GenBank genome assembly.
GCCAGGGUGGCAUAGCAGUUUGAGUGCUAGACUGUGACUCUGGAGACCAGGGUUCAAUUCCUAGCUUGGUCA